Molecule: ribosomal RNA, 578 nt
Filed under: Boreochlus sp. SRM-2009
Lineage: Eukaryota; Metazoa; Arthropoda; Insecta; Diptera; Chironomidae
Description: eukaryotic LSU rRNA
Rfam family: Eukaryotic large subunit ribosomal RNA
Source: RNAcentral
UUCAAUACUAGUCGCUUGCGUCUGGUGUGCACUUUUCUCUUAGUAGGACGUUGUGAUCCAUUAGGAAUCGAUGUGACUUGUGCACAUUACUGGGCCACCAAUAGACCGGCAUAAAGUUCAUUGAGAACAAAUAGCGUGAUCGUUUAUGGUCGCGCAUAUUGUCUUGUGAGUUUGCCGUGCACUGGUGUGGCUGCCUGAUGGAUUUUAAAGGCGGCAUCUGUCGUGCUUGCACGACCCUCUACGGAGGGAAUUGGAUGUGUGCCCGAUCAACAACGGUUAAAUUUGGGAUACCUUUGGGACCCGUCUUGAAACACGGACCAAGGAGUCUAUCUAGUGUGCGAGUAAAUGGGUAUCGCAUUAAACCUAUUUGCGUAACUAACUUGACUGUUAUGGGACCACGAGUGUCGCGCAAGCGGCCGCUCCUCAAUCCCGGGGUGUUUUCAUCACAUGUGCUUGCACAUAGAAAAUAUACCGUGAGCACACUGGAUGGGACCCGAAAGAUGGUGAACUAUGCCUGAUCAGGUUGAAGUCAGGGGAAACCCUGAUGGAGGACCGAAGCAAUUCUGACGUGCAAAUCG